CAAACUGGCAAGAGCUGAGGGAGCAGCAGG
Molecule: non-coding RNA, 30 nt
Filed under: Cricetulus griseus (Chinese hamster)
Lineage: Eukaryota; Metazoa; Chordata; Mammalia; Rodentia; Cricetidae
Source: RNAcentral